GGGUCGUUAGCUCAGUUGGUAGAGCAGGGGACUUUUAAUCCCAAGGUCGUGGGUUCGACUCCCACACGACCCACCA
RNAcentral lists this transfer RNA (76 nucleotides) under Fannyhessea vaginae. RNAcentral's name for it is "Atopobium vaginae tRNA-Lys". It matches the Rfam family "tRNA". From Rfam's summary of the family: Transfer RNA (tRNA) molecules are approximately 80 nucleotides in length. Their secondary structure includes four short double-helical elements and three loops (D, anti-codon, and T loops). Further hydrogen bonds mediate the characteristic L-shaped molecular structure. tRNAs have two regions of fundamental functional importance: the anti-codon, which is responsible for specific mRNA codon recognition, and the 3' end, to which the tRNAs corresponding amino acid is attached (by aminoacyl-tRNA synthetases). tRNAs cope with the degeneracy of the genetic code in two manners: having more than one tRNA (with a specific anti-codon) for a particular amino acid; and 'wobble' base-pairing, i.e. permitting non-standard base-pairing at the 3rd anti-codon position. RNAcentral also lists the same sequence under 1 other name. Lineage: Bacteria; Bacillati; Actinomycetota; Coriobacteriia; Coriobacteriales; Atopobiaceae. The record is from RNAcentral.